RNAcentral lists this ribosomal RNA (497 nucleotides) under uncultured bacterium. RNAcentral describes it as "partial 16S ribosomal RNA". It matches the Rfam family "Bacterial small subunit ribosomal RNA", at positions 28 to 507 of the family's 1533-position model. The record is from RNAcentral.
GAUGAACGCUGGCGGCGUGCCUAAUACAUGCAAGUCGAGCGAACAGACGAGGCGCUUGCUCCUCUGACGUUAGCGGAGGACGGGUGAGUAACACGUGGAUAACCUACCUAUAAUACUGGGAUCUCUUCGGGAAACCGGCGCUAAUACCGGAUAAUCUCUUGCACCGCAUGGUUCAAUAGUAAAAGACGGUUUUGCUGUCACUUCUCGAUGGAUCCGCGCCGCAUUAGCUAGUUGGUAAGGUAACGGCUUACCAAGGCGACGAUGCGUAGCCGACCUGAGAGGGUGAUCGGCGACACUGGAACUGAGACGCGGUCCAUACUCCUACGGGAGGCAGCAGUAGGGAAUCUUCCGCAAUGGGCGAAAGCCUGACGGAGCAACGCCGCGUGAGUGAUGAAGGUCUUCGGAUCGUAAAACUCUGUUAUUAGGUAAGAACAAAUGUGUAAGUAACUAUGCACGUCUUGACGGUACCUAAUCAGAAAGCCACGGCUAACUACGUG